GACAGAGGGUGCUAGCGUUGUUCGGAAUUACUGGGCGUAAAGGGCGCGUAGGCGGCCUGGUCAGUCGGAUGUGAAAGCCCGGGGCUCAACCCCGGAACGGCAUACGAUACGGCCCGGCUGGAGUCCGGAAGAGGAAGGUGGAAUACCCAGUGUAGAGGUGAAAUUCGUAGAUAUUGGGUGGAACACCAGUGGCGAAGGCGGCCUUCUGGUCCGGAACUGACGCUGAGGCGCGAAAGCGUGGGGAGCAAACAGG
RNAcentral lists this ribosomal RNA (253 nucleotides) under uncultured bacterium. RNAcentral describes it as "partial 16S ribosomal RNA". It matches the Rfam family "Bacterial small subunit ribosomal RNA", at positions 524 to 776 of the family's 1533-position model. The record is from RNAcentral.